UCAGUCUUUUUGUUGGAACGAUGUUAUACUUUGUCCAUGAAACCAAGUAGCGUGUGUAUUUGUCUUUCUUGUAUGUUUUCAAAGAAAAGAUUUUUGCAUCAUCAAGAACAAUUUCUGAAUCGGUAGUGGCGCUACAUACCAAAGAGUAUCAUAUCUAAAGUUUAAACAAUUAAUGCAUUAAUAUUUUUACCGAAUAUUAAAUGUUAAGGGACGUGAGUAUGAAACAUUAAAUAAGAAAAUAUAACCGCAGCUUAUGCCAGAUACACGUGAUGAUACAUGUGAUGAGAACACACUAUAUUAUAUCACACAAGUAUCCAAUUAAUAAUAAUAAAUGUCAUAUAUUAUUACUUAGAUCUGGACAAAUAAAUAUUACU
Molecule: long non-coding RNA, 374 nt
Organism: Ooceraea biroi (clonal raider ant)
Lineage: Eukaryota; Metazoa; Arthropoda; Insecta; Hymenoptera; Formicidae
Source: RefSeq, a predicted model, not a curated record